ACUCUUGGCAAUGGAUAUCUUAGCUCUCAUAUCAAUGAAAAACAUAAUGAAAUGAGAUACUUGGUGUGAAUUGCAAAAUCUCAUAAGCCAUUGAGUCUUUGAAUGUAAGUUGAGCCUCAUGCCAUUGGGUUGAAGGCAUGCCUACCUUAUGUGUCAUGCCUCAUCACCCCUUCCAACCCCUUGCCCAAUAGACUCCAAGUAAAGGGGCAGAAGAUGGCCUUCUGUGAUCUCAUCAGUCAUGGUUAGCCUAAAAUGAGUCCUUGACAAUGAUAGCACCAUGGUCAUUGGUAAUAAAGCUCUUCAUGAUGCACAUUCAUAGUCCAUUCAUAACCCAUUUGUCCUCACCUACUAAGUUUAAGCUUAUCAAUAUGUGGAGGAAAAGAAACUUACUAGGAUUCCCCUAGUAAUAGCAAGUGAACCAGGAAAAGUUUAGCUAGAGAAUUGAGCAUCGUUGGCAUCUAAAUUAUAGUUUAGAUAAGCAUCUUUAAUGGUGCACUAGGACCAACUCCUUUGGAAAAAGACAUUGGAAAGGGUGGGAGCCGCAUUAUGCCUAGGCCCUAUCACAUCAUAAAGCACUAUCUAUGAGUCAGGUUGUUUAGGAAUGCAGCUCUAAUCAAGCUAUAAAUUUUGUCCAAGGCUGAAUACGGGUGAGAGAUCGAUAGCAAAUAAGUACCAUAAAGGAGAGAUGAAAAGGACUUUGAGAAGAGAAUCAAAAAGUGCUUGAAAUUGUUAGGAGGGAAGUGGAUGGGAGCCAACAAUAUGUGCCUAUUGCAUGUGGAAUAGCAAGAGCUGGUCUGCCAAUCGACUAGGGGUAUGGAUCGAUGCAAGCCACCAUGGCGGCCCAAGCUCAAGCUUUUGAUAUGCCCUCAAAGAUGUCAUUGCCAUGAUCGUGAAAUGUAGCAUGCAUCAUCUUGGCAUGCCUUCGCACUAGCAUGCUCCCGGCAUCAGCUUGUAGGCUCCCCAUUCGACCUAUCUUGACACAUAAACCAAAGAGUUUGACAUGUAUUCAAGUUAAUGGGAUAGAAAACACAUAAGGUGUAAGGAAGCUGAUUGGCAGGAUCCCUCAUGGUUGCACCUCCAAGCUAUUUUAAUCUUCUAAGAAGGGUUUGAGUGUAAGCAUGCCUAUUAGGAUAUGAAAGAUGUUGAACUAUGCCUAAGUAGGGUAAAGCUAAAGGAAACUCUAGUAGAGGCCCAUAAUAAUAGUAAUGUUCAAAUCAUUCAUCUGAAUUGCGUGUAAGGGUAAAAGACUAAUCGAACCAUCUAGUAGCUAGUUCCCUCUGAUGUUUACUUUAGAAUAGUUACAACACUUAGUGAGUACUAUCAGGUAAAGCCAAUGAUUAGAGGCAUCAAAGGUGCAAUGCCCUUGACUUAUUCUCAAACUUUAAAUAGGUAGGAUGGCAUGGCUGCUUCAUUGAGAAACAUCACAAAAUUGAGAGCUUUAAGUGGGCCAUUUUUGGUAAGCAAAAUUACUGGUGUGGUAUGAACCAAAAUCCAGGUUACGGUGCCUAACUAUGUGCUAACCUAGAAACCCAUAAAAGGGUGUUGGUCAAUUAAGAUAGUAGGCCAGUGGCAUGGAAGUCAAAAUUCACUAAGAAGUGUGUAACAACUCACUUGCCAAAUCAACUAGCCUUAAAAAUGGAUGGUGCUUAAGCAUGUGAAUUAUACUCGAUAGUCAGAGCAAGGGCUAGGGCCUGAUGAAUAGGAGGCAUGAUAGUCAUUGCAAAACUUAAGAGACAAGCCUAGGUAGAGUGACCGUUAAUGCGGAUCUUGGUGGUAGUAGCAGAUAUUCAAAUAAGAAGUUUAAAGGUCGAAGAGGGGAAAUGUUCCAUGGGAAUGGCACUCGCAUAUGGGUUAGUUGAUCUUAAGAGAUGGGAAAGCUUGUCUGAUCACACAUCUAGCGUGAGCUUCAAAAGGGAAUUGGGUUAAAAUUCUUUAAUUGGGAUGCAACAAAAAAUGGCAACAUUAAGGAGUUCAAAGACUUUGGCAGGGGCUUUAGGAAAAGUUAUCUUUUAUGUUUAAUGGCCUACCCACCCAAGAAACAACUUAAAUAAAGGUAGGAUCUAGUGUUUGAAAGAGCACACAUCAUGUGGUGUAAGGUACGCCUUCAGUGGCCCUGGAAAAUUUAGAGAAUCGAGUGCCAUCUAUGCCCAAUUGUAUUCAUAAUGGCAUUAGGUCUACAAGGUGAAUAGCUUUUUGUUGAUGGAACAAUGAAGGUAAGGGAUGUCAGCAAAAUGGAUCUAUAAACCCAAGAAAAGGAUUGUAUCUAAUGGCUAGUUAUGGGGGUCCCAAUCUUAAACCCAUCAGUUAUUGGUACACUACUUGAGUUGCUUCCAUAGUGAGAAUGGGUCACCAUGUGCCGAUCGAUGGAUAGAUUAGGAAUGGCUUCCUCAGGGGCUAUACCUAGGUGAUGGACAAUUGAUUCAAAACUAGUGCAGACAAGGGGAAUCUUACUGUUUCAUUAAAAUAAAGCAUUGCGAUGGUCCCUAUGGAUACUCACGCAAUGUGAUUUUUUGUCCAGUGCUUUGAAUGUCAAAGUAAAGAAAUUCAACCAAGUGUGGGUAAACAACAAGAGUAACUAUAACUCUUUUAAGGUAGCCAAAUGCCUCAUCAUCUAAUUGGUGAUGUGCAUUAAUGGAUUAACAAGAUUUCCAUUGUCUUUUUCUACUAUCCAGUGAAACUAUAGCUAAGGGAAUGGGCUUGGCAGAAUCAGUGGGGAAAGAAGACCUUAUUGAGCUUGGCUCUAGUCUAAUUUUGUGAAAUGACUUGAGAGGUGUCGGAUUGUGAAAUACCACUACUAUUAACAUUAUUUUACUUAUUCCAUGAAUUAGAGGCAGGGCAUGACCCUUUCUUUUGGACCAAGGCUGGCCUAUAUCAGUCGAUCCAACCAAAAGACAUUAUCAGGAGAGAAGUUUUGCUAGGGCAACACAUUUAUUAAAAGGUAAUAUAGGUGUCCAAUGAGAACAAAAAUCUUGUAUAGAAUAAAAGGGUAAAUGCUCAUUUGAUUUUGAUUUCUAGUAUGAAUACAAACUAUGAAGGCAUGGCCUAUCAAUCCUUUAAACCUUUUAAACUUGAAGCUAGAGGUGUCAAAAAAGUUACCACAAGGAUAACUACUUGUGGCAACCAAGCAUUCAUAGCGACAUUGCUUUUUGAUCUUUCAAUGUUAGCUCUUCCUAUCAUUAUGAAGUAGAAUUCACCAAGUGUUGUAUUGUUUACCCACCAAUAGGGAACGUGAGCUAGGUUUAGAUCGUCAUGAGACAUGUUAGUUUUACCUUACUGAUGGUAGUGUUGCAAUAGUAAUUCAACCUAGUAUGAGAGGAACCAUUGAUUCGCACAAUUGGUCAUCACAUUUGGUUGAAAAAUGCCAUUGUCACAAUCUGUGGGAAAGACCAGGCCCAUGGGUUCUUAUCAAGACAAGGAGCGAUUUU
Molecule: ribosomal RNA, 3425 nt
Filed under: Durio zibethinus
Lineage: Eukaryota; Viridiplantae; Streptophyta; Magnoliopsida; Malvales; Malvaceae
Description: eukaryotic LSU rRNA
Rfam family: Eukaryotic large subunit ribosomal RNA
Source: RNAcentral